AUGAACGCUGGCGGCGUGCCUCAUCCCUGCCCGUCGAGCGAACAGAUAAGGAGCUUGCUCCUUUGACGUUAGCGGCGGACGGGUGAGUAACACGUGGAUAACCUACCUAUAAGACUGGGAUAACUUCGGGAAACCGGAGCUAUACCGGAUAACAUAUUGAACCGCAUGGUUCCAUAGUGAAAGGCGGCUUUGCUGUCACUUAUAGAUGGAUCCGCGCCGUAUUAGCUAGUUGGUAAGGUAACGGCUUACCAAGGCAACGAUACGUAGCCGACCUGAGAGGGUGAUCGGCCACACUGGAACUGAGACACGGUCCAGACUCCUACGGGAGGCAGCAGUAGGGAAUCUUCCGCAAUGGGCGAAAGCCUGACGGAGCAACGCCGCGUGAGUGAUGAAGGUCUUCGGAUCGUAAAACUCUGUUAUCAGGGAAGAACAAAUGUGUAAGUAACUGUGCACAUCUUGACGGUACCUGAUCAGAAAGCCACGGCUAACUACGUG
Molecule: ribosomal RNA, 495 nt
Filed under: uncultured bacterium
Lineage: Bacteria
Description: partial 16S ribosomal RNA
Rfam family: Bacterial small subunit ribosomal RNA
Source: RNAcentral